GGUUCCAUCGUUUAUUAGGAUAAGAUACCUCCCUGUCACGGAGGAGUAGAGAGUUCGAUCCUCUCUGGAACCGCCA
RNAcentral lists this transfer RNA (76 nucleotides) under Aeromonas phage APT65. RNAcentral's name for it is "tRNA-Asp". It matches the Rfam family "tRNA". Rfam says of the family: Transfer RNA (tRNA) molecules are approximately 80 nucleotides in length. Their secondary structure includes four short double-helical elements and three loops (D, anti-codon, and T loops). The record is from RNAcentral. Lineage: Duplodnaviria; Heunggongvirae; Uroviricota; Caudoviricetes; Grimontviridae.